UUCUAGUUCAGUUCUAGUUCAGUUCUAGUUCAGUUCUAGUUCAGUUCUAGUUCCAGUUCUAGUUCAGUUCUAGUUCCAGUUCAGUUCUUGUUAGUUUGGACCUUUAGAAUUGGACCUGUCUCUAUAGGGUUAAUUUGAUUAGUAUUGUCAGCCACAAAUUAAUUGAAAACUGAUUAAGUACACAGCUGAUUUUUUAACUAAAAAAUAUUUGGUGUUUUUUUAACAAAUUUUUUUCACACAAUAAAUUAAAUAAAUUCUUUUUUUUGUUAAUAUCAAAUUAAAAUACUUAUAUUAUUUAACAAUUCUUAACCAAAUUGAGGACAUUUCUCAAACAGCUGAAUUAAUUUACUACUAUUCGAAAACAACCCUGACUGUUAACAGCUGUGUGUCAAACAUAUACCGUUAUAUAUCAAUUUCCUUCAACUCUCAAUUUUCUACUGUUGCUAUUUCUAUAUGUAUUGUGUAAGUGUGUUUGUAUGUGAGUGUUGGUGGUAUUGAAGUCAAAAAAAGAAAGCGAGAGAAUGAAAAAUUAUUCAAGAAAAUUUUAACUUAAAGAAAAACUUAUUCUAAAAACUUACGAGAAAAAAAUUUAGGGAAAAAAGUAAAUUUUAGCGAAAUAAAAUUAGUAAUAAAUAAAAUCUUUUAAAAUGUAUCAAAACUAAGUGAAAUAUUAAAGAAAAGGUGAAAAAAUGUAUUAUAAAAGCGAAAUUGUGUGAUUUUUCAAAGGUCCCUUUAAUUUUAUGGAUUAUUUCGUCUGAGGAAUUUUCUAUAACUCGCCCACUCUAUUUAUUAUUAAUGUUGAAGAAGACAUGGCAGCUGUUGAACAUACCUUUCACGGUACUUGGGAGAUUGUUUCCUGUACCUUUGAGGGGAAAAAAGAAAUAUCCGGUUUAGAGGGCAUUAAAUUUCGUCUGGACGAUACAAGUGAUAUAACAUGGUAUAAUGAUUUGGUCAGCCCGUUGCCAGAAACAAAAGACUGCGAUACAUGUUGUGAUUCGGCUAGUGUUCUAUUCAGUUGUGAAACUUUUGAAGUUAAUGAAAGCAAUCCACGUUUAAUCUUUGGAGCAUUUGCUGGACACAGUAUAGAAUUUAAUACAUCUACCUUAACACCUUCUGAUUCCCUAAUACUCUACUGUGAGAACUGGUAUGCGGUGGAAUGCAAACGUUUGAAAGAGGGCCAGGCUGCUGGACAGGAAAAAGAAUUCUCUUUUGCCGAAGCCUUAAAUGAAUCAUACUUUAGUGAUGUUAUUAUCAAAAGCUCUGAUGGUUUUGAGUAUCACGUUCAUGCGUCUAUAUUACGCCUAAACGGUUUUGAUUGCAGCAUGUGUGUACAUGCUACCAGCGCCAUUUCAUUGCCUCAGACUGUAUGUAGAAAUUAUGAUUCCCUUACCAUAAAAAGUAAAGAUAAUGCCAGUGUACCCAAUUCCCCGAAUCCCAUUAAAAUUUCGGUGACAAUGACCAGCACCACAAAGCAAACGGAACAGGAACAGCAAAAAUCUUUACCCCGCCUCAAUUUAUCACCCAUUUACUUGCAACCGCCUACAGAAACAUGUCAUGCCAACAAUAGCACUUCACUAAGAACUCAACAUCACUCCCAGCUGUCGUCCUCCUUUAAUUGUUUGUCGACCAAGACCCAAGCGAAUGGUAGUACCUUACAUCUACUCAAUCAAGAGAGUGGUUCGGGCAUGCGUCGUUUUCCACCCAAUUCCCAUUCGGAUUCUCAUUUGGAAACCCAUAAUUUAAAGCCUCAAUCAAAAAAUAUUUUUAAUUUUUGUCAAGAUCUCAUGCUGCAACAUUCAACGGAUGUCUGCAGUUCAACCGGUUGUAAUACACGUCGACCACCUUUAUCACCCUAUCGUGCCAGAAGUCCUUCACCAUUUCCCAGUUCUAUGGAUACACCACCUUCGUCACCUUUGACUCCGGUGGGUGUUUUAUAUGAUCUUCCUGCAUUUCUACUAACGCCCAUAUUACAUUGGCUUUAUACGGAAUCAUUGAUGCCCGAUAUGAACGAGGAUGUUUGCGAGAAACUUAUCAAUUUUGCCGAGUCCCAACCUUCGCUAAUGAAGUUGGCUGAACCCGCUAAGAGAUAUUUGAAAAUGAUUAAAUUGAAGAAGUUUGUUGUCAAUAUAAUAAUGGAUUUACAUAGUAUUUUAAAUCGUGUCAUACAAACCAUUAAUCCAGUUACUAUAUCACAUGAACCCGCCUUACUAUAUGCCACAUUUAAGGAUAGUUUAAGAGAAUGUUCUAUAGGAUGUGCCAAAAUUUUACAAUUUUGCAAUAUAUUUAUUAAGGAUGCCGCCGAUAUAGCACGUUAUCAAAAGAAUGAAAUAAUUAAAUAUGUACGCACACGUAUACCCAUAUUUAUGUCACAAUUGCAUCAGCUCUUACGCAAUAUAUUAAAUGUAUUUUUAAGUCUAACACCUGAUGAAAAAGAUGAAUUAGCUAAUUACUUAGUACCUGAGAUUGAAACCACUUUAUUGAUUUUAACUAGUGUGAUAGAAGAAAUCAAAAAUUCUUUAGAAAAAAUGUGUAAAGAUUUAAAAUGCUCACAUUUAGAUUUAUCCUUAAAAUAUGCUACCGAUGAUGCGGUAGCCAUGCAAAUACAAAAUAACACUUUCAUUACCGCCAACAAUGCCAUGGAUGAUAAUACCGUUAGCACUUUAUUUAGUCAGCCACCAUUAUCGCCACGUCCUCGCCGAGGUCCACCCAUAGGUUUGACGCUCUAUGAUAAUCCCUCGGAUAAGCAGCGUCUAAUGAGUGCCGAAAAUGAUUUGAAAUUUGUUUUAUACAUGUAUGAGGUGAGAAAAAUGAGAGAUAUUUAUGGACGCAUAUCAGCUGCUUUGGAUAUAAUAAGGGAUAAAAAAACUACUUAUUGUGAAAUGGAUUUCUUGAGUAAACGCAGCACUAUAAAUCAAAAUUUAGAACAAUUGAUUGUAGAUAUACCCAGUUAUAUAUUGAUUAUGGAAAAUCUAUCGGAUCGUUUGGAGGAGAAAUUGGGUUGGAAGGAAUUUAAGUUUUGUUUUAAGUUGGCGACUUCUCAAAUUAACGGUGUUAUAGUAAAGAUAUUUGAUCAUAAGUCUGCUUUAAAAGAAGCCAUGAGUCAGAUUUGCAAACUGGUGCAAAAACAGGAAUUUACACAAACUCUAAUCGAAUUGGGUCUAUUGGAACCUUCAAACAUUUUAGAAAGUGAAUUGAAAUCAUUGCAAAAAGAUGAUCCCUUUGAAUUAAGUUUAGAUCCUUUGCUUUUGGAAAGGCAACAUAACUAUGAUUAUAAAAGUGUUAAGCUUAACCUAAUACGUCACUUAUGUGAACCACCCAUAGCGGUGAAUAGUAAUCUCUCGAAAAAUGCUUUGCGACUUUUGCACUCAGCCCAAUUGGCCGAUAUGGAAUUUGAGGUGCACACUUUCCACAAUCCUCCAACAAUGACAGUUGAGUCUAAUGUCACAAAUAGAAACACUUUAGAUAUACAAAGUAUGGAAGCUCUGAAAGCACCCAUACAAGUUCAUACAUUUCGUGCACAUCGUGUAAUUGUAUCGGCCAGAUGUGAAUGGUUUAAGAAGGCUUUAAUGUCUGGUAUGCAGGAAUGUUUAACAAGAAAAAUCAUUAUAACUGAUACUUCACCGGUGAUCUUUAGACGUUUGCUGUUAUUUUUGUAUGGUGCUCCGAUUGAUAAAACUGUUGGUGCUGAACAAAUAUGUGAAUUGAUGUUAUUAGCUGAUAAAUAUUCUAUAGAUGAUUUAAAGGAAUUAUGUGAAAAUACUUUAAAUUCACAAAUCGAUGAACAUUCAGUUUUAUGUCUUUUGGGUAUAGCCGAUCAUUAUAUGGCAUCGGCUUUAAAAUCUAAGUGUCUUUCAUUUUUAUCACAAAAUUCACAUCUUACAAAGGCUGCUAUGUUUAAGGAAUUAUCACGACCCUUACAACUUGAGGUAAUGGAUUUGAUACAUUGGUAUGGACGUGUCACUGAACCCUGGAACGAUACGGGCGGUUUUAAACCACGCAGCACUUCCAGACACAGUUUAAAAAGUCCCUCAAAACCCCGCUCACGUUCUAGAAAAUCAUCACCAUCUUUUAUGUGACACUGACUCUUAAGAAGCAAUGGCUAUUAAAUGAUAUUUAAAAUAAUAAUAAAAAUCUAAAAGGAAAACAUUUUAAGCAAUUGUUCCGAUAUUCUUUUUCAAUUAAGUUUACUAUUGAUGUUAGCAUAAGUAUAAAAAUUGAAAAAAAAAACUAAAAACCAAAAAACACUUUUUCUAAAACAUAUACACAAACAA
Molecule: RNA transcript, 4271 nt
Organism: Lucilia sericata (common green bottle fly)
Lineage: Eukaryota; Metazoa; Arthropoda; Insecta; Diptera; Calliphoridae
Exons: 18
Source: RefSeq, a predicted model, not a curated record